This 212-nucleotide ribosomal RNA is filed under the name uncultured bacterium. Its description in RNAcentral is "partial 16S ribosomal RNA". It matches the Rfam family "Bacterial small subunit ribosomal RNA", at positions 568 to 774 of the family's 1533-position model. The record is from RNAcentral.
UGCGUAGGCGGUUUAGAAAGUCUGAUGUGAAAGCCUAUGGCUUAACCAUAGAAACUGCAUUGGAAACUUCUAAACUAGAAUACUGAAGGGGCAGAUGGAAUUAGUGGUGUAGGGGUAAAAUCCGUAGAUAUCACUAGGAAUACCGAAAGACGAAAGCGAUCUGCUGGGAAGGUUAUUGACGCUGAGGCACGAAAGCGGUGGGGAGGCAAACG